RNAcentral lists this ribosomal RNA (437 nucleotides) under uncultured Dehalococcoidia bacterium. RNAcentral describes it as "bacterial SSU rRNA". It matches the Rfam family "Bacterial small subunit ribosomal RNA", at positions 342 to 795 of the family's 1533-position model. The record is from RNAcentral. Lineage: Bacteria; Bacillati; Chloroflexota; Dehalococcoidia.
CGGGUGGCUGCAGCAAGGAAUAUUGUGCAAUGGGCGAAAGCCUGACACAGCGACACCGCGUGGGGGAUGAAGGCCCUCGGGUUGUAAACCCCUUUUCUCAGGGAAGAAUAAUGACGGUACCUGAGGAAUAAGUCUCGGCUAACUACGUGCCAGCAGCCGCGGUAAUACGUAGGAGGCAAGCGUUAUCCGGAUUUAUUGGGCGUAAAGCGCGUGUAGGUGGCUCUUCAAGUCGGAUGAAAAAUCUCCCGGCUCAACUGGGAGGGACCAUUCGAUACUGCUGGGCUAGAGUGCAGCAGAGGGAGGUGGAAUUCCCGGUGUAGUGGUGAAAUGCGUAGAUAUCGGGGGGAACACCAGUGGCGAAGGCGACCUCCUGGGCUGUAACUGACACUGAGACGCGAAAGCGUGGGGAGCGAACAGGAUUAGAUACCCUGGUAGUC